Otolemur garnettii (small-eared galago) is the source of this 106-nucleotide small nuclear RNA. Lineage: Eukaryota; Metazoa; Chordata; Mammalia; Primates; Galagidae. The record is from Ensembl.
GUACUCUCUUCAGUAACACACAUACUAAAUUGGAACAAGACAGAGGAGAUUAGCAUGGCCCCUGCACAAGGAUAGCAUGCAAAUUUGUGAAGCAUCGUGUAUUUUU